Molecule: small RNA, 125 nt
Filed under: Marmota monax (woodchuck)
Lineage: Eukaryota; Metazoa; Chordata; Mammalia; Rodentia; Sciuridae
Source: RNAcentral
GCCAGGUGUGGUGGUGCAUGCCUGUAAUCCCAGUGGCUCGGGAGGCUGAGAUAGGAGGAUCAAGGGUUCAAAGCCAGCCUCAGCAAUAGUGAGGCACUAAGCAACUCAGUGAGACCCUGUCUCUA